GACGAACGCUGGCGGCGUGCUUAACACAUGCAAGUCGAGCGAACGGACGAGAAGCUUGUUUGUCUGAUGUUAGCGGCGGACGGGUGAGUAACACGUGGAUAAUCUCCUUAUAAGUCUGGGAUAACUUCGGGAAACCGGAGCUAAUAGCGGAUGAUAUUCUGAACCGCAUGGUUCAAAAGUGAAAGACGGUCUUGCUGUCACUUAUAGAUGGAUCCGCGCUGCAUUAGCUGGUUGGUAAGGUAAAGGCUUACCAAGGCAACGAGGCAUAGCCGACCUGAGAGGGGGGUCGGCCGCCCGGGAGCUGAGACACGGUCCAGACGCCUACGGGAGGCAGCAGUAGGGUAUCGUCCGCAGUGGGCGGAAGCCUGACGGAGCAACGCCGCGUGAGUGAUGAAGGUCUUCGGAUCGUAAAGCUCUGUUAUUGGUGAUGAACAUAUGUGUAAGUAACUGUGCACAUCUUGACGGUACCUGAUCAGAAAGCCACGGCUAACUACGUG
This 497-nucleotide ribosomal RNA is filed under the name uncultured bacterium. RNAcentral describes it as "partial 16S ribosomal RNA". It matches the Rfam family "Bacterial small subunit ribosomal RNA", at positions 28 to 507 of the family's 1533-position model. The record is from RNAcentral.